UACAGAGGUCCCAACCGUUGUUCGGAUUCAUUGGGCGUAAAGGGUGCGUAGGCGGUCGCGCAAGUCGGAUGUGAAAUCUCGGGGCUCAACCCCGAAACUGCAUUCGAUACUGCGUGGCUAGAGUGCUGGAGGGGAGACUGGAAUUUACGGUGUAGCAGUGAAAUGCGUAGAUAUCGUAAGGAAGACCAGUGGCGAAGGCGAGUCUCUGGACAGCAACUGACGCUGAGGCACGAAGGCCAGGGGAGCAAACGGG
RNAcentral lists this ribosomal RNA (253 nucleotides) under uncultured bacterium. RNAcentral describes it as "partial 16S ribosomal RNA". It matches the Rfam family "Bacterial small subunit ribosomal RNA", at positions 524 to 776 of the family's 1533-position model. The record is from RNAcentral.